UUGUGUCUGUUGUGGGUUGAACCGUAUCCUCCCCAAAUUCAUAUGUUGAGGCUGACUCCCAGUACCUCAGAAUGUGACAGUAUUUGGAGAUGGGAUCUUUAAAGAGGUGAUUAAGUUAAACAGAGGCCAUCAGGGUGGGCCCUAAUCCAAUCUGACUGGUGUCCUUAUAAAAAGAGGAAAUUCAGGCAGGUGAGGAGACACCAGGGACAUGUGAACACAGAGGGAACACCACAUGAGGACAAAGGGAGAAGGAGGCCAUCAGCAAGCCAGGAGAGAGCCUCAGAAGAAACCAACCCUGCUGACACCUUGACCAUGGCCUUCCAGCCUCCAGAACUGAAGGACAAUGUUACAGUCAACUGAUUCCCCAUGGAUGACAGCAGCUAUCUGUUAUAAAGACAAACAAUCCAAUUAGGACCGGCGUAGUUAAUGUAGGAUCCUACAGAAUGAAACGAGCUACUAGAUUGGCUUGGAAAAAUGCUCUCUGCCAGGUCACUUCCUGUCUUCUGUAAGAGGCAUCCACGUAAAAGACGUCUUUCGGAAUCCAGUAUAAGACACACUUUUGUUUCUUCUCAGGAAAAGAUGAAGAAGCAAAGGCUUGAAGUGUGUGUGAGUUAAGGUAACGCUGUCACAGGAAAAGCCUGUAAUCUCAAUGGUUUCUUCCAGUGGAGUUUUACUUAUUAUUCACGUAAGUUCAAGGUCAGGGAAAGUAGGUAGGUGGAGGGGACCACACAGUCAUUCAGAGAUCCAGGCUGAGAGAGGCUCUGCCACCUUCAGCAGAUGGAUACCACGGCGACCCUAGGCAUCAGUAUUCUGCUAGAGGUGGGGAAAGGAAGCUUAGAGGGUGGCUUAUGGGCCAGGACGUGGAGUGGCAUCUGUCACUCCUACCCACACUCUUCUGACCAGAACCCGUUCGUGGCCCUUUCUAGAUUUAAUAAAGGCUUGAGAAUGCAGUUGCUGGCUGGGCAGCUGCUUCUCAACGACAGCUCCACUGAAUGGAAGGAAGAGAUAAAUCUGUGAAGGACAGCAGCCGUCCCUGCCACACAGUAGUCAAAUAGAUUGUGGAAGGUCACACAAUUAGCAAGUGACAAGUGACAGGGCCAGGAUCUAAACUCUCCUUGGUCUGAUACCAGAAUCUACGUGCUUAGUAUUCCAGCGGCACUGGGCGAGAACAGACGAUAUAGGAGAAGCGAGCGGGUUUUUUAAGUUGCUUUUCUUCCCAGCCACCACUGGAGGAGCUCGGAGAGAAACAGCACGCCCGCUGCCUCUUUCUUAAGAAGAUAACACUGCCUGGGUGAUGCGUUGUUUCCCACAGUGACUCACUCAAGAUUGCUUUAGUUCAGCAAAUCGCAUCACAUCACGAAACAGUGACAUCUUUGAAGCCAGAGCUCAGGACUUCUCGAAGUGACACUCAAGAAAUGCACAAUGAGCCUCGUUUCCUGAAGAAGCUGAGAAAACAACUUAAAAACCAACAACACACAGUAACAUGAAAUUCUCGUUACAGCUGGCCUCUUUAGUCGCCGCUCCCCAGCUAGUUAAGCUCAAUGGAUUCUGUGCAGACCAUUCUCAGACUGAUUCACAGGACUGCUCUGACGGAAGUGUCUGCAUGUUACUUUGGCCAAUGUGGUAUCAGGAAUAUUACUAGGAAAUAAUGGGUGUUUACUUUGUACCGGAAUCUUGUCUAAUUGCUUCUCAUGCAUUUUCCCAUUUAAUCCUUUAUAAAAUAUGGUAAACUCUGUCUCAAUUAAGAAAUAA
Molecule: long non-coding RNA, 1752 nt
Filed under: Equus caballus (horse)
Lineage: Eukaryota; Metazoa; Chordata; Mammalia; Perissodactyla; Equidae
Description: lncRNA (ENSECAG00000055671.1)
Source: RNAcentral